This is a non-coding RNA of Nanohaloarchaea archaeon SG9, 75 nucleotides long. NCBI's taxonomy places the organism in Archaea, Methanobacteriati, Methanobacteriota, Candidatus Nanohaloarchaea. The record is from Rfam.
GCGGCAGUAGUGUAGUCUGGCCAAUCAUCUCGGCCUUUCGAGCCGAAGACCCGGGUUCAAAUCCCGGCCGCCGCA